This is a long non-coding RNA of Aphis gossypii (cotton aphid), 3309 nucleotides long. RefSeq lists it as uncharacterized. The transcript has 5 exons. The record is from RefSeq and is a predicted model, not a curated record. Lineage: Eukaryota; Metazoa; Arthropoda; Insecta; Hemiptera; Aphididae.
AAGAAGAAUUAAUUCUUAAUUCUUAAUUCUUAAGAAAAUAAUAAACUCUUCUUAAUUCAUUGAUGAAGCCAUGAAGGUAUCUAAAAUAUUUAUUUGUAUAUCUUAAAUCGUGCCGACGACCGAUGUCCAAAACCAUCACUCUCUAUGAAUGAUGAAUCUAUGAUAUCUACGGAAUGUUACGUCAUUACGAUUUAAAAAUAAUUUACGGCACUUUUAGGGCCGAUUUCACCAACACUGUUGAUCGCGGUUAACUCAACAUAAUUUUUCUAAAUGGAAUAUUUUUCUACAACUAAUUUAGGUCCCAUCAUAUUAUGUACAAGUACUGUUGACUGUCUCUAUUUAACAAUGUUGAAACCUCACAACCACUAGCUGUACGGGGAGCGUACAACGUACAUUCCAUAUGUCUAUUGAUAUUUGAUUUAUUAUUAAUAAUCGCUAUAAUCAAUAAAUACAUCUAUUAGGAUCUGAAUAAAAUAUUAUCAUUCAAGUGGAAAAGUGUAAAAGGACGUCAAACACAAUUACACAAGUGUGUUGUCAUAAAUGUUUGACAAAAUAUCAAAUUAAUGUUCAGGUCAAUGUUAAAAUGUCGACCGUUACGUUGAACGUGUUAAAAAUCAGUGAGUAUACUAUUUUAAUUAUUAGCGAUUUGAAUUUUUCGUACUAAUCUUCAAUGGGUUAGCUAAUAAAUUUGAUUUAUUUAUUGAGAUGAUAUUUGGCCAAGUAUGAACAACCGUGAACAGAUAUUUUGUUUCAGAUAAAGUACAUUCUAUCGCUGUCAUUCAUUGUAUGGCUUAUAAUAGUACAUUGCUCUUAUUGUAUUAACAUACACGGACAAGGAUGGCACUAGAUCUUUUCCAAACUCGCUUUGUUUAAUUUCUUCCUUAUUAUUAUUCUAUACUUUUAGGCCUAACAUUUAUAAUACCUACGUAUUAUUAUAGGGUAUCAGAACACGUAGCAAUAUUGUGGUAUACUCUGAGAGUCCCAAUAAAUACCAACAUCACAUUCAGAAUGGCCCAGCAAUUACGGAAGUAACAACUAUAGCCGUAACCUCACAUAUACUAGUAAAUGGGGACUAAUUUUUCACGCACUUUAUGAUCUGGAAAAAUAAGGAAAUAAACCGUGUUUUUUUAACAACACUACUAAGUUAGCAAAUAGAACAAGCUGGGUAAUUUCAGAAACAGUACAACAGACACAAAGCAGAAAUCAAAGAAAAACCCAUUUCGCAGCGCCAAUCAAUAAGUACACAAGUCAUAAAACAAAGAUAACUAACACAGUGAAAAUAAGGAAUUGAGGAGAUAAAAACAAUGUUAUUUUACGAUUUUGCUAAAAAUCCACUCGAUUUUCUUCUCUUCAAAAUUUAAUUUUAUCUCAUAAUAUUAUUACUUUUUAAAACAUAUAACCAUAUAUGAUUAAAAAAAAAAACCUUAAUUUAUAGCAUCAUAAUUUUUAAAAUUCUCAAUGUCAAUUUUGAAUUGUAAAUAACUCAUUCAACUUUCAUCAUAAACAAUUAACACCAUUUCCAUUAGUUUUAGAAUUUAAUAUUACUUUAAAAUAAUAUUACUUAAUACAACAUACAACAAUAUAAGAUUUAAAAAAAAUUAAAAACCUUAUUUCAUAGGAGUGUUCGAGCUGGAUGAUCACCCAAGGCAAGAAUUAAUUGAUGUAAAAAAUUGGUGAAAUCACAUCAAAAAUACAUUGUCAAACUACAUGUAUAAAACGGCUAAGUAAAGAAAGAAAACAUAUAUUGAAGUGAUACAAAGAUGUGAUAGCAUAUAUUAAUGCUAAAUACCUAAAUUAAUUUUAAGUACCUACAGUUAUUUUGUUUCAAUAAUUUAUUUACUUGACAAGUAAUUAUUUUGAGUAGAAAUGUCCAUUUUAAUAUAUUAAAAUUAGUAUGAACUUCUAAUACUUUUUAAUAAUUUUGUUUGCGUGAUUUCAUAUGCCAAUUCAUAUUAUAAAGUAUAUAAUUUCCGGCCAACCAAGUGAAUAGAUUAUUGAUCAUGUUAUAUCAUUAAUAUAAUAUAUUUAUAUUUGGACGAAAAUCUAAUAUACUGAUAAAUUGAUAAUAACCAAUAAAUAUUAUUAUUUUAAAUAAAAACUGACAUUAAAAAUAAACUAAAUAUAAAACAAUUAUUUUCUAAGAUGUUUGAGACAGUACCUACGAGUAUUUCAAAAAGUUUCUCAUUGCCAUUCACCAGUCAAAAUCAUGAACAACGUAUGAGCAUCUGUGAAUGGUUGUCGUGAAGUACAUGUAAAACAAAAAAAAUGGAUAUCAGAGCACUUAGCAAUAGCGUUCUAUAUUCAAAGUGUCCGGAUAAAUACAAACAACACUUACAGAGAGUGCAAGCAACAACAGCCAUAACCGCACAUAUUAUGCUGUCAAAUGUGGAGUAAUUUUUCCUACGCAGGUAAUGCUUUCAAAUGAUAAGGAAUGGCAAAAUUGAAUAAACAAUAAGGUACUAGACUGUUUUUAAUUUAACAAAAAUACUAAGUUUAGAUAGUAACAAGAAACAGCUUGGUAAUUCCAUGACAAUCGCAACGAUAGCAAAGAAAAAAUUGAGGACAUAACCCAUCGACAAGUACACAAUCCAUAGAUCAAAAAAAACCAACACAGUGAAAAAUAGCAUCGAGGCGAUAAAAAAAAAUAUAAAUUAAAUUCUUUCAUACAUUACCCUAAUCUGCGUCCGUGCGCGUACUAUUCGCCUAGGGUGUAAGAACUUUAAGUAUAGCUCUACCUAGUUUAUAGUAUAGCUAUAUACAUAAUAUUUCCCUAUUAGAUUUUGAUAAAAAUAAAAAGCCUUUAUUCAUAUGAAAGUAACAAUGGAAAUCAAUAACUUCAAUUUAGUUUUGUUAAUAACUGAUUCAAUUUUCAUCUCAUACUACUGAAACUUAAUUAUACAGUAAAAAUGAGUUAGAUAUAAAUAUAUCUCACCCGGAAUUUUCUAGAAAAAAAUCUACAAAGAUUUCCUUACAUCUGCAAGACACUAAAACAUUGUUUACUUAUUAUAAUAAUUAUAACUUAAACGUCUUAAACUUUACUCAAUAUAUUUGAUAAACAUAGUUCUAUUUACUAUAAUACUUAAUCUCCUUUACAUUUAAAUAAAUGCACCAAACAGUUGUAAAAUCAUUCAUAUAAAUUUAACACAUUACUGUGCAUACUGUUCGCUCGAUGAUUAACAUAGUUAUGCUCUUUUGGUGUGCGGCCGGCCUUAGUAUAGAAUUUCUAAACUAUUUUUAAUAUUAGAAAACUUUGUACUAUUCAAUUAUCUAGUUUUAAAUUUCUAAGAAAUAAAUAUUAUUAAUAAUAAA